UGCAGUCGAACGAUGAAGCCCUUCGGGGUGGAUUAGUGGCGAACGGGUGAGUAACACGUGGGCAAUCUGCCCUUCACUCUGGGACAAGCCCUGGAAACGGGGUCUAAUACCGGAUAACACCUGCCCGGGCAUCCGGGUGGGUUAAAAGCUCCGGCGGUGAAGGAUGAGCCCGCGGCCUAUCAGCUUGUUGGUGAGGUAGUGGCUCACCAAGGCGACGACGGGUAGCCGGCCUGAGAGGGCGACCGGCCACACUGGGACUGAGACACGGCCCAGACUCCUACGGGAGGCAGCAGUGGGGAAUAUUGCACAAUGGGCGAAAGCCUGAUGCAGCGACGCCGCGUGAGGGAUGACGGCCUUCGGGUUGUAAACCUCUUUCAGCAGGGAAGAAGCGAAAGUGACGGUACCUGCAGAAGAAGCGCCGGCUAACUACGUGCCAGCAGCCGCGGUAAUACGUAGGGCGCAAGCGUUGUCCGGAAUUAUUGGGCGUAAAGAGCUCGUAGGCGGCUUGUCACGUCGGGUGUGAAAGCCCGGGGCUUAACCCCGGGUCUGCAUUCGAUACGGGCUAGCUAGAGUGUGGUAGGGGAGAUCGGAAUUCCUGGUGUAGCGGUGAAAUGCGCAGAUAUCA
Molecule: ribosomal RNA, 625 nt
Filed under: Streptomyces sp. YIM 67225
Lineage: Bacteria; Bacillati; Actinomycetota; Actinomycetes; Kitasatosporales; Streptomycetaceae
Also listed under: 1 other name
Description: bacterial SSU rRNA
Rfam family: Bacterial small subunit ribosomal RNA
Source: RNAcentral